GAUGAACGCUGGCGGUAUGCUUAACACAUGCAAGUCGAACGGACACUUUCGGGUGUUAGUGGCGGACGGGUGAGUAACGCGUGAGAAUCUGCCUUUAGGUUCGGGACAACCAUUGGAAACGAUGGCUAAUACCGGAUAUGCAGGAAUGUGAAAGAUAUAUUGCCUAAAGAUGAGCUCGCGUCUGAUUAGCUAGUUGGUGGGGUAAAGGCCUACCAAGGCGACGAUCAGUAACUGGUCUGAGAGGAUGAUCAGUCACACUGGAACUGAGACACGGUCCAGACUCCUACGGGAGGCAGCAGUGGGGAAUUUUCCGCAAUGGGCGAAAGCCUGACGGAGCAAUACCGCGUGAGGGAGGAAGGCUCUUGGGUUGUAAACCUCUUUUCUUAGGGAAGAACAAAAUGACGGUACCUAAGGAAUAAGCAUCGGCUAACUCCGUGCCAGCAGCCGCGGUAAUACGGAGGAUGCAAGCGUUAUCCGGAAUGAUUGGGCGUAAAGCGUCCGCAGGUGGUUUUGUAAGUCUAUUGUUAAAGCGUCUGGCUCAACCAGAUAAUGGCGGUAGAAACUACAAGACUAGAGUCCGUUCGGGGCAGAGGGAAUUCCUGGUGUAGCGGUGAAAUGCGUAUAGAUCAGGAACAACACCGGUGGGCGAAAGCGCUCUGCUAGGCCGGAACUGACACUGAGGGACGAAAGCUAGGGGAGCGAAUGGGAUUAGAUACCCCCAGUAGUCCUAGCCGUAAACGAUGGAUACUAAGGC
RNAcentral lists this ribosomal RNA (754 nucleotides) under uncultured cyanobacterium. RNAcentral's name for it is "bacterial SSU rRNA". It matches the Rfam family "Bacterial small subunit ribosomal RNA", at positions 28 to 822 of the family's 1533-position model. The record is from RNAcentral. Lineage: Bacteria; Bacillati; Cyanobacteriota.